GACGAACGCUGGCGGCGUGCUUAACACAUGCAAGUCGAACGGCAAGGCCCUGCUUGUGUGGUGUGCUCGGGUGGCGGUCGGGUGAGUAACACGUGUGUAACCUGCUCUACUUUUUGGGAUGGCUUCAGGAAACUGGGGCUAAUACCGGAUAGGAGCUCAUGCUGCAUGGUGGGGGUUGGAACGUUUCGGCGGGUGGGGAUGGACGAGCGGCUUAUCAGCUUGUUGGUGGGCUAGUGGCUUACCCAGGCUUUGACGGGUAGGCGGCCUGGGAGGGUGACCGGCCACAUUGGGACUAAGAGACGCCCCAGACUCCUACGGGAGGCAGAAGGGGGAAAUAUGGCACAGUGGGCCGAAGCCGGAUGCAGCAGCGCCGCGGGCGGGAUGCCGUCCUUCGGGUUAUAAACCGCUUCCGCCUGUGACGAAGCGGUAGUGACGGUAACGGGAAAAGAAGCACCGGCUAACUACGUG
Molecule: ribosomal RNA, 468 nt
Filed under: uncultured bacterium
Lineage: Bacteria
Description: partial 16S ribosomal RNA
Rfam family: Bacterial small subunit ribosomal RNA
Source: RNAcentral